RNAcentral lists this ribosomal RNA (486 nucleotides) under uncultured bacterium. Its description in RNAcentral is "partial 16S ribosomal RNA". It matches the Rfam family "Bacterial small subunit ribosomal RNA", at positions 30 to 507 of the family's 1533-position model. The record is from RNAcentral.
AUUGAACGCUGGCGGCAUGCCUUACACAUGCAAGUCGAACGGCAGCUCGGACUUCGGUCUGGCGGCGAUUGGCGAACGGGUGAGUAAUACAUCUGAACUUACCCUGUCUUGGGGGAUAACUAGUCGAAAGAUUAGCUAAUACCGCAUACGACCUGAGGUUGAAAUUGGGUGACCGGAAACUGCCUCAUGCAGCAGGAGCGGCCGAUGUCUGAUUAGCUAGUUGGUGGUGUAAAGGCCCACCAAGGCGGCGACCAGUAGCUGGUCUCAGAGGACGAUCAGCCACACGGUGACUGAGAAUCAGCACCGACACCUAGACGAGGACGCAGUGGGGAAUUUUGGAGAAUGCAGGAGUCCCUAAUCCAGCAAUGUCGCGUGUGUCCAGAAGCACUUCGGCUUGUAAAGCAAUUAUGUCCGGAAAGAAAUCGCGCUGGUUAAUACCUGGCGUGGAUGACGGUACCGGAAGAAUAAGCACCGGCUAACUACGUG